Molecule: ribosomal RNA, 2917 nt
Filed under: Klebsiella pneumoniae
Lineage: Bacteria; Pseudomonadati; Pseudomonadota; Gammaproteobacteria; Enterobacterales; Enterobacteriaceae
Description: bacterial LSU rRNA
Rfam family: Bacterial large subunit ribosomal RNA
Source: RNAcentral
GGGUUGUGAGGUUAAGCGACUAAGCGUACACGGUGGAUGCCCUGGCAGUCAGAGGCGAUGAAGGACGUGCUAAUCUGCGAAAAGCGUCGGUAAGGUGAUAUGAACCGUUACAGCCGGCGAUGUCCGAAUGGGGAAACCCAGUGCAAUUCGUUGCACUAUCGUUAACUGAAUACAUAGGUUAACGAGGCGAACCGGGGGAACUGAAACAUCUAAGUACCCGAGGAAAAGAAAUCAACCGAGAUUCCCCCAGUAGCGGCGAGCGAACGGGGAGCAGCCCAGAGUCUGAAUCAGCUUGUGUGUUAGUGGAACGGUCUGGAAAGUCCGACGGUACAGGGUGAUAGUCCCGUACACCAAAAUGCACAGGUUGUGAACUCGAAGAGUAGGGCGGGACACGUGGUAUCCUGUCUGAAUAUGGGGGGACCAUCCUCCAAGGCUAAAUACUCCUGACUGACCGAUAGUGAACCAGUACCGUGAGGGAAAGGCGAAAAGAACCCCGGCGAGGGGAGUGAAAAAGAACCUGAAACCGUGUACGUACAAGCAGUGGGAGCACCUUCGGGUGUGACUGCGUACCUUUUGUAUAAUGGGUCAGCGACUUAUAUUCUGUAGCAAGGUUAACCGUAUAGGGGAGCCGCAGGGAAACCGAGUCUUAACUGGGCGUUAAGUUGCAGGGUAUAGACCCGAAACCCGGUGAUCUAGCCAUGGGCAGGUUGAAGGUUGGGUAACACUAACUGGAGGACCGAACCGACUAAUGUUGAAAAUUAGCGGAUGACUUGUGGCUGGGGUGAAAGGCCAAUCAAACCGGGAGAUAGCUGGUUCUCCCCGAAAGCUAUUUAGGUAGCGCCUCGUGAACUCAUCUUCGGGGUAGAGCACUGUUUCGGCUAGGGGUCAUCCCGACUUACCAACCCGAUGCAAACUACGAAUACCGAAGAAUGUUAUCACGGGAGACACACGGCGGGUGCUAACGUCCGUCGUGAAGAGGGAAACAACCCAGACCGCCAGCUAAGGUCCCAAAGUCAUGGUUAAGUGGGAAACGAUGUGGGAAGGCACAGACAGCCAGGAUGUUGGCUUAGAAGCAGCCAUCAUUUAAAGAAAGCGUAAUAGCUCACUGGUCGAGUCGGCCUGCGCGGAAGAUGUAACGGGGCUAAACCAUGCACCGAAGCUGCGGCAGCGACACUAUGUGUUGUUGGGUAGGGGAGCGUUCUGUAAGCCUGCGAAGGUGUGCUGUGAGGCAUGCUGGAGGUAUCAGAAGUGCGAAUGCUGACAUAAGUAACGAUAAAGCGGGUGAAAAGCCCGCUCGCCGGAAGACCAAGGGUUCCUGUCCAACGUUAAUCGGGGCAGGGUGAGUCGACCCCUAAGGCGAGGCCGAAAGGCGUAGUCGAUGGGAAACAGGUUAAUAUUCCUGUACUUGGUGUUACUGCGAAGGGGGGACGGAGAAGGCUAUGUUAGCCGGGCGACGGUUGUCCCGGUUUAAGCAUGUAGGCUGGUUAUCCAGGCAAAUCCGGAUAAUCAAGGCUGAGGUGUGAUGACGAGGCACUACGGUGCUGAAGUAACAAAUGCCCUGCUUCCAGGAAAAGCCUCUAAGCAUCAGGUAACAUCAAAUCGUACCCCAAACCGACACAGGUGGUCAGGUAGAGAAUACCAAGGCGCUUGAGAGAACUCGGGUGAAGGAACUAGGCAAAAUGGUGCCGUAACUUCGGGAGAAGGCACGCUGGUGUGUAGGUGAAGUCCCUGCGGAUGGAGCUGAGACCAGUCGAAGAUACCAGCUGGCUGCAACUGUUUAUUAAAACACAGCACUGUGCAAACACGAAAGUGGACGUAUACGGUGUGACGCCUGCCCGGUGCCGGAAGGUUAAUUGAUGGGGUUAUCCGUAAGGAGAAGCUCUUGAUCGAAGCCCCGGUAAACGGCGGCCGUAACUAUAACGGUCCUAAGGUAGCGAAAUUCCUUGUCGGGUAAGUUCCGACCUGCACGAAUGGCGUAAUGAUGGCCAGGCUGUCUCCACCCGAGACUCAGUGAAAUUGAACUCGCUGUGAAGAUGCAGUGUACCCGCGGCAAGACGGAAAGACCCCGUGAACCUUUACUAUAGCUUGACACUGAACAUUGAGCCUUGAUGUGUAGGAUAGGUGGGAGGCUUUGAAGCGUGGACGCCAGUCUGCGUGGAGCCAACCUUGAAAUACCACCCUUUAAUGUUUGAUGUUCUAACGUUGGCCCCUGACCGGGGUUGCGGACAGUGUCUGGUGGGUAGUUUGACUGGGGCGGUCUCCUCCCAAAGCGUAACGGAGGAGCACGAAGGUUAGCUAAUCCUGGUCGGACAUCAGGAGGUUAGUGCAAUGGCAUAAGCUAGCUUGACUGCGAGCGUGACGGCGCGAGCAGGUGCGAAAGCAGGUCAUAGUGAUCCGGUGGUUCUGAAUGGAAGGGCCAUCGCUCAACGGAUAAAAGGUACUCCGGGGAUAACAGGCUGAUACCGCCCAAGAGUUCAUAUCGACGGCGGUGUUUGGCACCUCGAUGUCGGCUCAUCACAUCCUGGGGCUGAAGUAGGUCCCAAGGGUAUGGCUGUUCGCCAUUUAAAGUGGUACGCGAGCUGGGUUUAGAACGUCGUGAGACAGUUCGGUCCCUAUCUGCCGUGGGCGCUGGAGAAUUGAGGGGGGCUGCUCCUAGUACGAGAGGACCGGAGUGGACGCAUCACUGGUGUUCGGGUUGUCAUGCCAAUGGCACUGCCCGGUAGCUAAAUGCGGAAGAGAUAAGUGCUGAAAGCAUCUAAGCACGAAACUUGCCCCGAGAUGAGUUCUCCCUGAGACUAUAAGUCUCCUGAAGGAACGUUAAAGACGAUGACGUUGAUAGGCCGGGUGUGUAAGCGCAGCGAUGCGUUGAGCUAACCGGUACUAAUGAACCGUGAGGCUUAACCUUACAACGCCGAAG